This is a long non-coding RNA of Canis lupus familiaris (dog), 246 nucleotides long. RefSeq lists it as uncharacterized. The record is from RefSeq and is a predicted model, not a curated record. Lineage: Eukaryota; Metazoa; Chordata; Mammalia; Carnivora; Canidae. The transcript is spliced from 2 exons.
UCCAAUUGACUUAUUUCACUCAGCAUAAUACCCUCCAGGUCCCUCCACGUUGAAGCAAAUGAACUGUGUGAUCAUCACUACAAUCAAUUUUAGAACAUUUCAUCACCCCAAACGAGAAGCCGACAAGAAACUUAAGUGCUUCAAAGGAAGUGAAUAGACAUUCAUAAAAUGGGAGAAAAUAUCUGUAAAUCAUGUACCUGAUAAAGGUCUGGUAUCCAGAAUACAAAACGAACUAUUAUAACUCAA